This 74-nucleotide transfer RNA is filed under the name Isosphaeraceae bacterium. Its description in RNAcentral is "tRNA-Met". It matches the Rfam family "tRNA". Rfam says of the family: Transfer RNA (tRNA) molecules are approximately 80 nucleotides in length. Their secondary structure includes four short double-helical elements and three loops (D, anti-codon, and T loops). The record is from RNAcentral. Lineage: Bacteria; Pseudomonadati; Planctomycetota; Planctomycetia; Isosphaerales; Isosphaeraceae.
GGCGGCGUAGCUCAGGUGGUCAGAGCGGCGGAUUCAUAACCCGCAGGUCACAGGUUCGAGUCCUGUCGCCGCUA